GAUGAACGCUGGCGGCGUGCCUAACACAUGCAAGUCGAACGAACGGACGAGAAGCUUGCUUCUCUGACGAUAGCGGCAGACGUGUGUGUAACACGUGGAAAACCCACCUGUAAGACGGGGAUCAUUUCGGGAAACCGGAGCUAACACGGGAUGAUAUUCUGAACCACAUGGUUCAAAGGUGAAAGACGGUGUUGCGGGAAGUAAUAGAUGGAUCUGCGCUGGAUGAGCUAGUUGGUGAGGUAACGGCUUACCAAGGCAACUAGGCAUAGACGACCUGAGAGAGUGGUCGGCGACCCGGGAACUGAGACGCGCUCCAGACUCCUACGGGAGGCAGCAGUAGGGAAUCUUCCGCAAUGGGCGAGAGCCUGACGGAGCAACGCGGCGUGAGUGAUGACGGUCUUCGGAUCGUAAAGCUCUGUUAUUAGGGAAGAACAUAUGUGUAAGUAGCUGUGCACAUCUUGACGGUACCUGAUCAGGAAGCCACGGCUAACUACGUG
This 497-nucleotide ribosomal RNA is filed under the name uncultured bacterium. RNAcentral describes it as "partial 16S ribosomal RNA". It matches the Rfam family "Bacterial small subunit ribosomal RNA", at positions 28 to 507 of the family's 1533-position model. The record is from RNAcentral.